GGGGGUGUAGCUCAAUUGGUUAGAGUCCUAGACUGUCGAUCUAGUUGUUGCGGGUUCGAGUCCCGUCACUCCCG
This 74-nucleotide transfer RNA is filed under the name Candidatus Auribacterota bacterium. RNAcentral's name for it is "tRNA-Asp". It matches the Rfam family "tRNA". From Rfam's summary of the family: Transfer RNA (tRNA) molecules are approximately 80 nucleotides in length. Their secondary structure includes four short double-helical elements and three loops (D, anti-codon, and T loops). The record is from RNAcentral. Lineage: Bacteria; Pseudomonadati; Candidatus Auribacterota.